CGUUGCUACGUGACAUGAAGUUUGACUACUCUCGUCAUGUUCGUCCAGACGUUGCUACGUGACAUGAAGUUUGACUGCUCUCGUCAUGUUCGUCCAGACGUUGCUACGUGACAUGAAGUUUGACUACUCUCGUCAUGUUCGUCCAGACGUUGCUACGUGACAUGAAGUUUGACUACUCUCAUCAUUUUCGUCCAGACGUUGCUACGUGACAUGAAGUUUGACGACUCUCAUCAUGUUCGUCCAGACGUUGCUACGUGACAUGAAGUUUGACGACUCUCGUCAUGUUCGUCCAGACGUUGCUACGUGACAUGAAGUUUGACUACUCUCGUCAUGUUCGUCCAGACAUUGGCAACCCUAAGGCAUUCGAAAUUGAACUCCUCCCAAUUAAUUUUAAUAAAUUAAAUUUAUUUUAAUUAAUUUAUUUAUGUAUUAUAUCAUAAAUUUUUGUUCAAUUUAAGUAAAAUAAAUUAUUAAAACUCAGUGUAUAUAAUUAUAAACAAGUGUUAUUGUGUGUUACUUUAAAUAACUUUAGUUUUUGUGCGUCUCCCGUGAUCUGUCAGCUGUUAUAAAAAUGAUGACCCGUAGAAUCAAAGCCCGUCAAACUGAGGAACAGCUCCAACUAACCCUCUUGGAGCUAAGAAAGUACAAGGGACAAUACGAACAGCUGCUUAAAGAAAGGGACGACAGUGAAAUUGAGAGCACUGGCUCAGAAAAUAUGAGCGCAUCUUUAACUUCAGUGGUCAUCAGGUGGCAAGUGCGUUUUGCAGAGAAAAGGCUACACGUGGCGGUUCUCUUAUACUUGUAAGUAAAUUAUUUAAAUUCAAAGAACGUGAAGAUAUUGUAGGCCUCUCUGUUGAACGUACCAUUGAAAUAGCCUGUGCAGAGCUUGAUCACGCCAUUGUUGUCAGUAUAUACAGAUCCCCACAUACAGUAUAUGAAUUAUUUGAAAGUGUAUUGGAGGAGGUUUUACUAAAAUUAUAUAAGUCGAAGAAGUAUAUCAUGA
Molecule: long non-coding RNA, 1003 nt
Organism: Leptidea sinapis
Lineage: Eukaryota; Metazoa; Arthropoda; Insecta; Lepidoptera; Pieridae
Exons: 2
Source: RefSeq, a predicted model, not a curated record